This 483-nucleotide ribosomal RNA is filed under the name uncultured bacterium. RNAcentral describes it as "partial 16S ribosomal RNA". It matches the Rfam family "Bacterial small subunit ribosomal RNA", at positions 28 to 507 of the family's 1533-position model. The record is from RNAcentral.
GACGAACGCUGGCGGCGUGCUUAACACAUGCAAGUCGAACGCUGAAGCUCAGCUUUUGUUGGGUGGAUGAGUGGCGAACGGGUGAGUAACACGUGAGUAACCUGCCUCCUUCUUUGGGAUAACGCCCGGAAACGGGUGCUAAUACUGGAUAUUCACUGGUCUUCGCAUGGGGGUUGGUGGAAAGGGUUUUUCUGGUGGGGGAUGGGCUCGCGGCCUAUCAGCUUGUUGGUGGGGUGAUGGCCUACCAAGGCUUUGACGGGUAGCCGGCCUGAGAGGGUGACCGGUCACAUUGGGACUGAGAUACGGCCCAGGCUCCUACGGGGGGCAGCAGUGGGGAAUAUUGCACAAUGGGCGCAAGCCUGAUGCAGCGACGCCGCGUGAGGGAUGGAGGCCUUCGGGUUGUGAACCUCUUUCGCUCAUGGUCAAGCCGCAACAAUGGUUGUGGUGAGGGUAGUGGGUAAAGAAGCGCCGGCUAACUACGUG